Non-coding RNA from Procambarus clarkii (red swamp crayfish), 541 nucleotides. NCBI's taxonomy places the organism in Eukaryota, Metazoa, Arthropoda, Malacostraca, Decapoda, Cambaridae. The record is from RefSeq and is a predicted model, not a curated record.
AUUUCCCAUAUUGUGUGUGACUUCUGGUGAGCUUAGGUAGUUCUACAUUAUAAUGUAAUUAUACUGUACUGCACAGUUUAUCAUAACCCAAAUUAUCUUUAUUUUUCAGUCCUGAGAAACGCUUUACAGCGAUUAUGUCCCUCAUGUCAUAUUAUCGUGAACAUUAAUCAACAUGUCUGCAAGUGUGGCUAUAGGCUUUUUGAUGUCAAACGUAAAGCUCAGCCGGAAAGCCAGGCUCAGGCAAAUAUCAAGAGAUCAGAAAAGAAAAAACAUAUACCUGUUGUACAUGAUGAGUUGCACAAAAGUGUGCAAGAUUUACAACACCAAAAGAAAUUGAAGGAGAUUGAAGAGGAGAUAACAAGGCUUCGAGCAAUUUAUGAUUCCCAAAAUAACAACCCAAAAAGGCGGACAAUUAUGUACACUGGCACUUCGUCUAGAAAAAGCAGAGCUUUAGGCACACCAUCAAAUCCUUUCCCUUACAGUCAUGAAGUAAUGAAGCCUCCAGUUUCUGUUGUAGACGUUAUACCCCAAAAUAUCAAUG